CGUGUUAUCGGAUUACUGGGCGUAAGCGCACGCAGGCGGUCAAUUAAGUCAGAUGUGAAGCCCCGAGCUUAACUUGGGAAUUGCAUCUGAACUGGUUGGCUAGAGUCUUGUAGAGGGGGGUAGAAUUCCAUGUGUAGCGGUGAAAUGCGUAGAGAUGUGGAGGAAUACCGGUGGCGAAGGCGGCCCCCUGGACAAAGACUGACGCUCAGGUGCGAAAGCGUGGGGAGCAAACAGGAUUAGAUACCCUGGUAGUCCACGCUGUAAACGAUGUCGAUUUAGAGGUUGUGGUCUUGAACCGUGGCUUCUGGAGCUAACGCGUUAAAUCGACCGCCUGGGGAGUACGGCCGCAGGUUAAAACUCAAAUGAAUUGACGGGGGCCCGCACAAGCGUGGAGCAUGUGGUUUAAUUCGAUGCAACGCGCAGAACCUUACCUACUCUUGACAUCCAGCGAAUCCUUAGAGAUAGAGGAGUGCCUUCGGGAACGCUGAGACAGGUGCUGCAUGGCUGUCGUCAGCUCGUGUUGUGAAAUGUUGGGUUAAGUCCCGCAACGAGCGCAACCCUUAUCCUUUGUUGCCAGCACGUAUGGUGGGAACUCAAGGAGACUGCCGGUGAUAAACCGGAGGAAGGUGGGGAUGACGUCAAGUCAUCAUGCCCUACGAGUAGGCUACACACGUGCUACAUGGCAGAUACAAGAGAGCGACCUCGCGAGAUCAGCGCACUCAUAAGUCUGUCGUAGUCGAUGAGUCUGCACUCGACUCGAUGAGUCGGAAUCAAUAGUAUCGAGAUCAAUGCUACGUGAUCU
RNAcentral lists this ribosomal RNA (802 nucleotides) under Proteus mirabilis. RNAcentral describes it as "bacterial SSU rRNA". It matches the Rfam family "Bacterial small subunit ribosomal RNA", at positions 539 to 1360 of the family's 1533-position model. Lineage: Bacteria; Pseudomonadati; Pseudomonadota; Gammaproteobacteria; Enterobacterales; Morganellaceae. The record is from RNAcentral.